UACAGGGGGGUGCAAACGUUGCUCGGAAUCAUUGGGCGUAAAGCGCACGUAGGCGGUUCGUUAUGUCGGAUGUGAAAGCCCUUGGCUUAACCGAGGAAGUGCAUCCGAAACUGGCGAGCUAGAGUACGAAAGAGGAUCGCGGAAUUCCCGGUGUAGAGGUGAAAUUCGUAGAUAUCGGGAGGAACACCGGUGGCGAAGGCGGGUCUCUGGGCCGUAACUGACGCUGAGGAGCGAAAGCGUGGGGGAGCGAACAGG
This 255-nucleotide ribosomal RNA is filed under the name uncultured bacterium. RNAcentral's name for it is "partial 16S ribosomal RNA". It matches the Rfam family "Bacterial small subunit ribosomal RNA", at positions 524 to 776 of the family's 1533-position model. The record is from RNAcentral.